GGUCCAAAGAGAACAACUGUGAGGUUAGAAAAUUUUGUUAUUUCUGAUAUUGCAUGUCUUAUGUCCUUGAGUUUUGGAGUGAAGUGGCACUCACAUUGCUUCACUGUAAUGUUGAUAUGAAUAGUUGGUUCAUAGUCUUGAUAUGUAGUCUGGUCAGUGUCAAACUGUUGGUUCUUUAUCCUUUAAUCAUGUUAGAGGCAUGUCUGCACGAGAAUUCAGGGUAUUAUAUAUCCAGCAAGGUGUCUUGGAGCCUAGGCACCAAGGUGUCUUGGAGCCUAGGCGAAAGGCGCAGGCACGCGCUCGAGAGAGCCGAGGCGCAAAAAUA
Molecule: unclassified non-coding RNA, 325 nt
Filed under: Hevea brasiliensis (rubber tree)
Lineage: Eukaryota; Viridiplantae; Streptophyta; Magnoliopsida; Malpighiales; Euphorbiaceae
Source: RNAcentral